AGUCGAACGGUAACAGGAUGUGCUUGCACAUCGCUGACGAGUGGCGGACGGGUGAGUAAUACUUAGGGAUCUGCCUUCUGGAGGGGGAUAACCAUUGGAAACGAUGGCUAAUACCGCAUAAUGUCUACGGACCAAAGGGGGCUUCGGCUCUCACCAGAAGAGGAACCUAAGCGAGAUUAGCUAGUUGGUGAGGUAAGGGCUCACCAAGGCGACGAUCUCUAGCUGUUCUGAGAGGAAGAUCAGCCACACUGGGACUGAGACACGGCCCAGACUCCUACGGGAGGCAGCAGUGGGGAAUAUUGCACAAUGGGGGAAACCCUGAUGCAGCCAUGCCGCGUGUGUGAAGAAGGCCUUCGGGUUGUAAAGCACUUUCAGUGGGGAGGAAAGGUUAAUGGUUAAUACCCAUUAGCUGUGACGUUACCCACAGAAGAAGCACCGGCUAACUCCGUGCCAGCAGCCGCGGUAAUACGGAGGGUGCGAGCGUUAAUCGGAAUUACUGGGCGUAAAGCGCACGCAGGCGGAUUGUUAAGCUAGAGGUGAAAGCCCCGCGCUCAACGUGGGAAUUGCCUUUAGAACUGGCAGUCUAGAGUCUUGGAGAGGGGAGUGGAAUUCCAGGUGUAGCGGUGAAAUGCGUAGAUAUCUGGAGGAACAUCAGUGGCGAAGGCGGCUCCCUGGCCAAAGACUGACGCUCAUGUGCGAAAGUGUGGGUAGCGAACAGGAUUAGAUACCCUGGUAGUCCACACCGUAAACGCUGUCUACUAGCUGUUUGUGUAUUUAAUACGUGAGUAGCGUAGCUAACGCGCUAAGUAGACCGCCUGGGGAGUACGGCCGCAAGGUUAAAACUCAAAUGAAUUGACGGGGGCCCGCACAAGCGGUGGAGCAUGUGGUUUAAUUCGAUGC
RNAcentral lists this ribosomal RNA (900 nucleotides) under uncultured Aestuariibacter sp. Its description in RNAcentral is "bacterial SSU rRNA". It matches the Rfam family "Bacterial small subunit ribosomal RNA", at positions 60 to 957 of the family's 1533-position model. Lineage: Bacteria; Pseudomonadati; Pseudomonadota; Gammaproteobacteria; Alteromonadales; Alteromonadaceae. The record is from RNAcentral.